This 497-nucleotide ribosomal RNA is filed under the name uncultured bacterium. RNAcentral describes it as "partial 16S ribosomal RNA". It matches the Rfam family "Bacterial small subunit ribosomal RNA", at positions 28 to 507 of the family's 1533-position model. The record is from RNAcentral.
GAUGAACGCUGGCGGCGUGCCUAAUACAUGCAAGUCGAGCGAACGGACGAUAAGCUUGCUUCUCUGAUGUUAGCGGCGGACGGGUGAGUAACACGUGGAUAACCUACCUAUAAGACUGGGAUAACUUCGGGAAACCGGAGCUAAUACCGUAUAAUAUUUUGAACCGCAUGGUUCAAAAGUGAAAGACGGUCUUGCUGUCACUUAUAGAUGGAUCCGCGCUGCAUUAGCUAGUUGGUAAGGUAACGGCUUACCAAGGCAACGAUGCAUAGCCGACCUGAGAGGGUGAUCGGCCACACUGGAACUGAGACACGGUCCAGACUCCUACGGGAGGCAGCAGUAGGGAAUCUUCCGCAAUGGGCGAAAGCCUGACGGGGCAACGCCGCGUGAGUGAUGAAGGUCUUCGGAUCGUAAAACCCUGUUAUUAGGGAAGAACAUAUGUGUAAGUAACUGUGCACAUCUUGACGGUACCUAAUCAGAAAGCCACGGCUAACUACGUG